GAGUUUGAUCAUGGCUCAGAUUGAACGCUGGCGGCAGGCCUAACACAUGCAAGUCGAACGGUAACAGGAAGAAGCUUGCUUCUUUGCUGACGAGUGGCGGACGGGUGAGUAAUGUCUGGGAAACUGCCUGAUGGAGGGGGAUAACUACUGGAAACGGUAGCUAAUACCGCAUAACGUCGCAAGACCAAAGAGGGGGACCUUCGGGCCUCUUGCCAUCGGAUGUGCCCAGAUGGGAUUAGCUAGUAGGUGGGGUAACGGCUCACCUAGGCGACGAUCCCUAGCUGGUCUGAGAGGAUGACCAGCCACACUGGAACUGAGACACGGUCCAGACUCCUACGGGAGGCAGCAGUGGGGAAUAUUGCACAAUGGGCGCAAGCCUGAUGCAGCCAUGCCGCGUGUAUGAAGAAGGCCUUCGGGUUGUAAAGUACUUUCAGCGGGGAGGAAGGGAGUAAAGUUAAUACCUUUGCUCAUUGACGUUACCCGCAGAAGAAGCACCGGCUAACUCCGUGCCAGCAGCCGCGGUAAUACGGAGGGUGCAAGCGUUAAUCGGAAUUACUGGGCGUAAAGCGCACGCAGGCGGUUUGUUAAGUCAGAUGUGAAAUCCCCGGGCUCAACCUGGGAACUGCAUCUGAUACUGGCAAGCUUGAGUCUCGUAGAGGGGGGUAGAAUUCCAGGUGUAGCGGUGAAAUGCGUAGAGAUCUGGAGGAAUACCGGUGGCGAAGGCGGCCCCCUGGACGAAGACUGACGCUCAGGUGCGAAAGCGUGGGGAGCAAACAGGAUUAGAUACCCUGGUAGUCCACGCCGUAAACGAUGUCGACUUGGAGGUUGUGCCCUUGAGGCGUGGCUUCCGGAGCUAACGCGUUAAGUCGACCGCCUGGGGAGUACGGCCGCAAGGUUAAAACUCAAAUGAAUUGACGGGGGCCCGCACAAGCGGUGGAGCAUGUGGUUUAAUUCGAUGCAACGCGAAGAACCUUACCUGGUCUUGACAUCCACGGAAGUUUUCAGAGAUGAGAAUGUGCCUUCGGGAACCGUGAGACAGGUGCUGCAUGGCUGUCGUCAGCUCGUGUUGUGAAAUGUUGGGUUAAGUCCCGCAACGAGCGCAACCCUUAUCCUUUGUUGCCAGCGGUCCGGCCGGGAACUCAAAGGAGACUGCCAGUGAUAAACUGGAGGAAGGUGGGGAUGACGUCAAGUCAUCAUGACCCUUACGACCAGGGCUACACACGUGCUACAAUGGCGCAUACAAAGAGAAGCGACCUCGCGAGAGCAAGCGGACCUCAUAAAGUGCGUCGUAGUCCGGAUUGGAGUCUGCAACUCGACUCCAUGAAGUCGGAAUCGCUAGUAAUCGUGGAUCAGAAUGCCACGGUGAAUACGUUCCCGGGCCUUGUACACACCGCCCGUCACACCAUGGGAGUGGGUUGCAAAAGAAGUAGGUAGCUUAACCUUCGGGAGGGCGCUUACCACUUUGUGAUUCAUGACUGGGGUGAAGUCGUAACAAGGUA
RNAcentral lists this ribosomal RNA (1499 nucleotides) under metagenome. RNAcentral's name for it is "bacterial SSU rRNA". It matches the Rfam family "Bacterial small subunit ribosomal RNA". The record is from RNAcentral.